AAAUUGAAGAGUUUGAUCAUGGCUCAGAUUGAACGCUGGCGGCAGGCCUAACACAUGCAAGUCGAACGGUAACAGGAAGCAGCUUGCUGCUUCGCUGACGAGUGGCGGACGGGUGAGUAAUGUCUGGGAAGCUGCCUGAUGGAGGGGGAUAACUACUGGAAACGGUAGCUAAUACCGCAUAACGUCGCAAGACCAAAGAGGGGGACCUUCGGGCCUCUUGCCAUCGGAUGUGCCCAGAUGGGAUUAGCUAGUAGGUGGGGUAACGGCUCACCUAGGCGACGAUCCCUAGCUGGUCUGAGAGGAUGACCAGCCACACUGGAACUGAGACACGGUCCAGACUCCUACGGGAGGCAGCAGUGGGGAAUAUUGCACAAUGGGCGCAAGCCUGAUGCAGCCAUGCCGCGUGUAUGAAGAAGGCCUUCGGGUUGUAAAGUACUUUCAGCGGGGAGGAAGGGAGUAAAGUUAAUACCUUUGCUCAUUGACGUUACCCGCAGAAGAAGCACCGGCUAACUCCGUGCCAGCAGCCGCGGUAAUACGGAGGGUGCAAGCGUUAAUCGGAAUUACUGGGCGUAAAGCGCACGCAGGCGGUUUGUUAAGUCAGAUGUGAAAUCCCCGGGCUCAACCUGGGAACUGCAUCUGAUACUGGCAAGCUUGAGUCUCGUAGAGGGGGGUAGAAUUCCAGGUGUAGCGGUGAAAUGCGUAGAGAUCUGGAGGAAUACCGGUGGCGAAGGCGGCCCCCUGGACGAAGACUGACGCUCAGGUGCGAAAGCGUGGGGAGCAAACAGGAUUAGAUACCCUGGUAGUCCACGCCGUAAACGAUGUCGACUUGGAGGUUGUGCCCUUGAGGCGUGGCUUCCGGAGCUAACGCGUUAAGUCGACCGCCUGGGGAGUACGGCCGCAAGGUUAAAACUCAAAUGAAUUGACGGGGGCCCGCACAAGCGGUGGAGCAUGUGGUUUAAUUCGAUGCAACGCGAAGAACCUUACCUGGUCUUGACAUCCACGGAAGUUUUCAGAGAUGAGAAUGUGCCUUCGGGAACCGUGAGACAGGUGCUGCAUGGCUGUCGUCAGCUCGUGUUGUGAAAUGUUGGGUUAAGUCCCGCAACGAGCGCAACCCUUAUCCUUUGUUGCCAGCGGUCCGGCCGGGAACUCAAAGGAGACUGCCAGUGAUAAACUGGAGGAAGGUGGGGAUGACGUCAAGUCAUCAUGGCCCUUACGACCAGGGCUACACACGUGCUACAAUGGCGCAUACAAAGAGAAGCGACCUCGCGAGAGCAAGCGGACCUCAUAAAGUGCGUCGUAGUCCGGAUUGGAGUCUGCAACUCGACUCCAUGAAGUCGGAAUCGCUAGUAAUCGUGGAUCAGAAUGCCACGGUGAAUACGUUCCCGGGCCUUGUACACACCGCCCGUCACACCAUGGGAGUGGGUUGCAAAAGAAGUAGGUAGCUUAACCUUCGGGAGGGCGCUUACCACUUUGUGAUUCAUGACUGGGGUGAAGUCGUAACAAGGUAACCGUAGGGGAACCUGCGGUUGGAUCACCUCCUUACCUUAAAGAAGC
Molecule: ribosomal RNA, 1554 nt
Filed under: Escherichia coli
Lineage: Bacteria; Pseudomonadati; Pseudomonadota; Gammaproteobacteria; Enterobacterales; Enterobacteriaceae
Description: bacterial SSU rRNA
Rfam family: Bacterial small subunit ribosomal RNA
Source: RNAcentral